Long non-coding RNA from Talpa occidentalis (Iberian mole), 597 nucleotides. RefSeq lists it as uncharacterized. NCBI's taxonomy places the organism in Eukaryota, Metazoa, Chordata, Mammalia, Eulipotyphla, Talpidae. The transcript is spliced from 3 exons. The record is from RefSeq and is a predicted model, not a curated record.
GAGGGCAGGUGGACAAGGGCAGGAGGAAUCAGAGUAUGGAAAGAGAACAUUGAGAGAUGAGAGACGGGAGAUGUAGCAUUGAAGGACAGCUUUAAGGACUCUUUGUCAUGCGUACUCCUGGAUUUAAGUGAGAACAGUGAGUGUGAAGAAGGGCAAAAGAAGAUGAGAACUUACACAAGGCAAUAUGUAAAAUAAGAGGCAUUAGAAUCUAAACUGUAGAAGGAAGGAUGUGAGUAUCUGAGGCAGAUGAUGGACAAAGGAAACGUGACAGGAGCAGUGGAUUUGCCAGCUCAGUGAGGCAGAAGUAUUAUGGGAAUGAGGCCUGACGGGAGGUGAUAGGUGCUUUGCACGUAUAGGAUGUGGUGUUUGCAAAGUGAGAUGCUUAAAAUUAAGAUCAUGGAAGCAGCACAGUGACUUACACUAACAUUCUAAGAGAGGUGUUCCUGGGAGUUAACAGCUGACCUGGCCUGGAAGACAAGUUUCACUGGAGGAGUAAGAGGGCAUGAAUGGAAGGCUACAGAGGAAGGUGCACCGUGAGGCAGGAGGGGUCACCGUAGUCUGGAAGCAGCACUGAGGAGGAAAAACUUAACGCCACCC